RNAcentral lists this ribosomal RNA (253 nucleotides) under uncultured bacterium. RNAcentral's name for it is "partial 16S ribosomal RNA". It matches the Rfam family "Bacterial small subunit ribosomal RNA", at positions 524 to 776 of the family's 1533-position model. The record is from RNAcentral.
UACGUAGGGUCCGAGCGUUGUCCGGAAUUAUUGGGCGUAAAGGGCUCGUAGGCGGUCUGUCGCGUCGGGAGUGAAAACUUACAGCUUAACUGUGAGCGUGCUUCCGAUACGGGCAGACUUGAGGUAUUCAGGGGAGAACGGAAUUCCUGGUGUAGCGGUGAAAUGCGCAGAUAUCAGGAGGAACACCGGUGGCGAAGGCGGUUCUCUGGGCAUGACCUGACGCUGAGGAGCGAAAGCGUGGGGAGCGAACAGG